This 115-nucleotide ribosomal RNA is filed under the name Danio rerio (zebrafish). The record is from RNAcentral. Lineage: Eukaryota; Metazoa; Chordata; Actinopteri; Cypriniformes; Danionidae.
GCUGGCAGCUAGCUUACUGCAACUCGCCUAUGGUUGCCCACUGAAGCUAAGCAGGGCUGUGCCUAGUGAGAACCUGGAAGGGAGACCACAUGGGAAAGCUAGAUGGCUGCUAGAA